UACGUAGGGGGCAAGCGUUGUCCGGAUUUAUUGGGCGUAAAGAGCGUGUAGGCGGCCUUACAGGUCAGCUGUGAAAACUCGAGGCUCAACCUCGAGACGUCGGUUGAAACCGUAUGGCUAGAGUCCGGAAGAGGAGAGUGGAAUUCCCGGUGUAGCGGUGAAAUGCGUAGAUAUCUGGAGGAACACCGGUGGCGAAGGCGGCAUCCUGGACCAACACUGACGCUGAGUGAGCGAAAGCCAGGGGAGCAAACGGG
This 254-nucleotide ribosomal RNA is filed under the name uncultured bacterium. Its description in RNAcentral is "partial 16S ribosomal RNA". It matches the Rfam family "Bacterial small subunit ribosomal RNA", at positions 524 to 776 of the family's 1533-position model. The record is from RNAcentral.